AUGGUUGUGCUGGACCGCAGCGAUGGCUGGACAGUGGCAGUCCGCACAUCCUGCUCACCAUGCUGCAUGGGGGGCGGGGAGCAGGGGGUGGGUAAGGCGUCAGGCACGUGGGCUGGAGAACUGGCAUUUCCAUUAGUCGGUCCCGUGGGAACUCACCCUGCCUCCUGUGUCCUGAGUCCCCUCGUUUGUAAAAUGGAGGUGUUGCUCUCUCCGCCUCCAGAGUGCUCUAGUUCUGUCUCCAGAGGCAGCUCUCACCAGAGAUGCUCCCCUGUUUUCCGUUUCCUCCUCAUUUUUCAGAUGAGAGACAGAAUCAUCAUUGUGAAGAGGGAGGUUAUCAGGCUUUUUUUUUUUUUUCCCAGUAGCUCUUGUGCUUGGUAAACAUGUUGCUGAACACUUCGCGCUCUCAGGCGCUCGUGCCGUCGGCCUCCUCUCCGUCCUGUGCUGUGGGCCUGCUCUCCUUGGCGGCCCCGUCCUUCAUCCCUGUUGGAGGUGGAGGAACACAGCACUUUGUGUGCAGUGUGACCAGGUAACUCAAGCUGGCAGUAAUCAAGAUUUGGGGCUCAUUAUCAUUAAAGGGUAAUUUCAUUGCCACCCAUAAUUGAUCUUGUCUUAAAGUCAUUAUUGCACUUCUUUUGUUACAUGAUUAGAAAAAGAAAAAAAAAAAAACUGCUUUUGGCAAUAAGCUUUUGAAAAUGAGUCUCCUGCAUUCAGUUCCUUUUCAAACCGACUUUGUAAAUUUCGAGUGUGCCUUUAUUAAUGUAGUGAUUUGCCUGCUUUCUAUUACAUCUUCAAAAUAAAAGAAAAUUGGAACAGUUCAUCGUUGAAGUGAAUGUUACAAAAUCAGCAUCUGGUUUGAAUAAUGAGUUUUUUUGUCCAAGUUUUGCUUCAUUGAAUGAAGCUAAUAAAACUGCCCUCGGUUGUUAUGUCAAUGACUUCUCUUUCACUAACUUUUGGUUCCUUUCAGUUGCCAAUUUGGAGGCCACUAAGGUUUCUUUCAGAAAGUUCUUUCUUAGUGGUACUUGUUUGGAGUAACUCUCAGAUAGUGACUUUUUUUUUUUUUUUUGCUUUUUAGGUUCGCACCCGUGGCAUAUGGAGGUUCCUAGGCUAGGGGUUCAAUCCGAUCUGUGGCCGCUGGCCUACACCACAGCAAUGCAGGAUCCAAGCCACUGAGCGAGGCCAGGGAUUGAACUUGUGUCCUCAUGGAUGCUAGUCAGAUUGGUUUCUGCCGAGCCACGGCGGGAAGUCCAUCAGAUAGUGACUUUUUGGUCCCCAGCAGAGUGGAUGUGAUGAUAGCCCCUUAUCACAAAAAUCAUGAGGUUGGGACAUUUUAAGUAUCUUUUCCACCCUUCAAGCUCUUGGGACAAAAGUAAGGUGAAAAAAGAAGUCUAGAGUUGUAAUGACAGAAAGUUAGCAAUGAAAUCCCCUUACUAUUCAGGGUCAGGUGUCUAGGCACCUGUCCCCAAGUUUUGUUUCUACUUUGAACUUGGAUCUUAUAGCUUAUAGAGAUAUAGUUGCACCUGGGUAAUAAUAAUACCAACUAGAGAAUACAAAGCCAUCCCCGCUGCUCCUGCCAGGAACACACAGGCACACGCAUGUAACACAUGCCCACGCAAACACAGACACUCCCAGGAAGUUUCCUGAAGGUAAAUAUGCUUUUUGCUACUACGUUUCCUGAUCCGUAGAUAUCCACGCUAAUGAUACUUCGAAAGUACCUUCAGAUUCAUCAUUUGACUUGGCUUUUAACGUGGGAUGGGUAGUCUCUCUUAUCCUCAUUACCAAUGAAGAACUUCAAAGAAGUACUGUGACUUCCUCAAAGACAUAUAGCUGUCACGUGGGAGGAAGGAUUGGUGUUUAUAAAUGCCUAGUUUUACAUUUCAUCACAAAUCCUGUUUUGCUCGUUUCUCUUCAGUGAAAAGCUUAAGAAAUGAAUGAAUGAUGGAGUUCCCGUCAUGGCUCAGUGGUUAACGAAUCCGACUAGGAACCAUGAGGUUGUGGGUUCGAUCCCUGGCCUUGCUCAGUGGGUUAAGGAUCUGUUGUUGCCAUGAGCUGGGGUGUAGGUCAUAGAUGUGGCUCGGAUCCCGUGUUGCUGUGGCUGUGGUGUAGGCCAGUGGCUACAGCUCUGAUCUGACCCCUAGCCUGGGAACCUACAUGUGCCGUGGUUGCGGCCCUAGAAAAGACAAAAAAAAAAAAAAUGAAUGAAUGCACGAAUGAACCAAGGAAGAAACAAAUAUAACAACAUCCUGACACAAUAAAACCCUAAAGGGAAAUAUCUCCAAUAGUCAGUAAAACAUAGCAAUUUUUGGCUGAGUAAUAAUUCGCAUUACUUAGCUCUAUAGAAAAACAACAGAAUACCUCUUUAUCUAUGAAUAUUUUGAUACACAGAUGGUUAUCAAAACACACCAGGCUGAGAUUGCUGCUUCCUUUAGCUAAAUAUAGUUGUCCACUGCAUAGGGUCUUCGGGAAGCUGCCCAACUUGGGGAUCGCAANNNNNNNNNNNNNNNNNNNNNNNNNNNNNNNNNNNNNUGAUUGUGUUUUCUACUGUGCUCCUUGCAAGACAAAAACUUGGGGCUGGAAUUGAAAGGUCCUGCCAGGCAAGGCUCGCAGGUGCGAGUGUGAUUUCAGGUAACUGAAAAAUCAGGUGCCUCUGGAUGGCACGUGAGCACGUCACCAGUCUUAAUCGUCCGGGACUCUGGGGCAGCGAAUACGUCCUUUACUCACCUUGCUGACCGAACUCUGCCUUCUCCGAGACUUCGAGAAUCUGGAACCUUUGUGCUCCCUCUCUCUUUUUUUUUUUAGCUUCAAAAUUCUUUGUGGUCAAUUUUUUUUCCCUCUGAUGAUGCUUCUUUUAAAAUUCAAACUUUUCGAGAGCCAAAGGGGUGUUUUCCUUUUACUGGUUAACGUGUGUGAGGUGCCCGUGUUCCUUAAAAAACACCUUGUGUACUUGUGUCAUUUAACCUUUGCUGCUUCAUCCCGGCUCUUUCCUGGCAACUCCUUACUGGACCCUAUUCCUUUAAAUUCACCUCGGCCACUUGAGAUUCUAGGCCUCAAAUUCCUGUCUCUUUGGGCUUGGCUGCAUCUUCAUUAUUUGGCCUAGUUUGGACCUCAGCAGCCGAGGCAAGGUAAGAACCUCCCUCCUACCUAUUUUUUUGUUUUGUCUUUUUUUUUUUUUGCUUUUUCUUUGGGCCGCUUCCGCGGCAUAUGGGGGGUCCCAGGCUAGGGGUCGAAUCGGAGCUAUAGCUGCCAGCCUACACCAGAGCCACAGCAAUGCAGGAUCCA
Molecule: long non-coding RNA, 3276 nt
Filed under: Sus scrofa (pig)
Lineage: Eukaryota; Metazoa; Chordata; Mammalia; Artiodactyla; Suidae
Description: lncRNA (ENSSSCG00005039025.1)
Source: RNAcentral